RNA transcript from Ochotona princeps (American pika), 1164 nucleotides. It is a transcript of the gene named mortality factor 4-like protein 1, with no coding region annotated. The transcript has 2 exons. Lineage: Eukaryota; Metazoa; Chordata; Mammalia; Lagomorpha; Ochotonidae. The record is from RefSeq and is a predicted model, not a curated record.
AGGAGGCAGUGGCGACUAAUCACGUAUAAAUGGCACCCAAACAGGACCCGAAUCCUAAAUUUCAGGAGGAUGAAAGGGGAUUGUGCUUUCAUGAGCCUCUUGUUUAUGAAGCAAAGUGUGUAAAGAUUGCUAUAAAGUACAAACAAGUGAAGUAUUUUAUACAUUCUGUGGUUGGAAUAAAAAUUGGCAUGAGUGGGUUCCAGAGGAGCAGAGUGCUCAAGUAUGUGGACACCAAUCUGCUGAAGCAGUGGGAGCUUCAGAAAGCCAACCAGGAACAGUAUGCGGAGGGCAAGAUGAGAGGACAGAAAACCUCUGGCUGCAACAGAAAAAUGUCGAUGUGAAAACAAAGAAGAAUAAACAGAUAGCACCGGGAAAUGGAGAUGGUGGCAGCACCAGUGAGACUCUUCAGCCUCUUAGGAAGAAAAGAGCCACUUAGAUCCUACCGUUGAAAAUGAAGAAACAUUCAUGAACAGAGUGGAAGUUUUAGUGAAGAUUCCCGAAGAGCUAAAACCAUGGCUUGUUGAUGACUGGGACUUUAUUACCAGACAAAAGCAGCUCUUUUAUCUUCCUGCCAAGAAGAAUGUGGAUUCCAUUCUGGAGGAUUAUGCAAAUUACAAGAAAUCCCAUGGAAAUACAGUUAAUAAGGAAUAUGCUGUUAAUGAAGUUGUGGCAGGGAUAAAGGAGUACUUCAGUGUCAUGCUGGGCACUCAGCUGCUGUACAAGUUCCAGAGGCCACAGGAUGCUGAAAUUCUCCUGGAUCACACUGACACACCCAUGGCCCAGGUGCAUGGGGCACCACAUCCGUUGCAAUUAUUUGUGCGAACUGGAGCGAUGUUGGCCUAUACACCUCUGGAUGAGAAGAGCCUUAUUUUAUUACUGAAUCACCUUCAUGAUUUCCUGAAAUCUGUGCGUGUUAUCUGCUGCCUGAGUGCAGCAAGUCAGAGACCCUCCUCGCUGUGCAGGGAUGCAGUGAGUCUCCUUGUGAAUUACCAGCCUUUCAGACUACAGACAUGUAUACCAGAAAAUGCCAGCAAACAAUCAGAAGUAGAAGACAUGCAAUUUGACAGCCAUAAAAAGUCCACAGACUUGAAAGAUUAUGGGAAAAGUAGAAAAAUAAGGAAGACCUCAGAAGAGGGGGACAGUGCUUCCCUCAAAAAUGAAUAA